UUUCCUAAGUUUGGUUGUACCCUCCUUAGCUUGCAGGGGCGGCGGCGGGGGGGCUUCCGGUUCGAACGAAUCAGGUCCUAAAGACAACGACACCGGUCCGGGCAUUGCAUGGGACUACGAAAGUUGGAAUGGAGAGCGCAUAGACCCGAACACACUACCAAAUAUAAGUAGCUGGGGUUCUUGGAAGCUCAAUGAGUCCGAUCAGACUUGGAAAUAUUAUAUGGAAAUCUACAAUAAUAUGACUUUAGCAUUUAAUGUGUCUUCGGGUGGAUUUGGUGCAAACGGUUCUUAUCCGAAUGGAUUUCCUGAAGAAUGGAAAGCCUAUGGUACUCCAUCAUUUGGUGUGCCGCCACCUCCUUGGGCAAAGUUCGCUAACCACUAUGGACGUCCGGAUGUCUGUUAUCUUUCCCCGGCGUAUGGAGACUGCACAGCGCAGUAUAUAAGGUGGGCGUUCGAACCAGUACAAGAAAAAUGCUUACCAUUUCAGUGGUCUGGGUGCGGGGGUAAUGAUAACAACUUCGAGUUCAAACAGAGCUGUGAGGAUACUUGCAGUAAAGUGCCUAACUCACUUUGCCUAUCUGAAGACUUUACCAAAUUCGAAGACUUCCUGACUAACUAAUGUUUAACUUAAAUUAUUAUAUUAUUGUCCUCAUAAAAAUAAAUUUUAUCUACAAGUUCAGA
Molecule: long non-coding RNA, 681 nt
Organism: Leptidea sinapis
Lineage: Eukaryota; Metazoa; Arthropoda; Insecta; Lepidoptera; Pieridae
Exons: 3
Source: RefSeq, a predicted model, not a curated record